AUACGUAGGGUGCAAGCGUUGUUCGGAUUUAUUGGGCGUAAAGGGUCCGCAGGGGGUCCGCCAAGUCUGAUGUGAAAUCCCGUGGCUCAACCACGGAACUGCAUUGGAAACUAGCAGACUAGAGUAUUGGAGAGGUAAGUGGAAUUUCUGGUGGAUCGGUGGAAUGCGUAGAUAUCAGAAAGAACACCGAGAGCGAAGGCAGCUUACUGGACAAUUACUGACCCUCAGGGACGAAAGCAUGGGUAGCAAACAGGAUUAGAAACCCUAGUAGUCC
RNAcentral lists this ribosomal RNA (274 nucleotides) under uncultured bacterium. Its description in RNAcentral is "partial 16S ribosomal RNA". It matches the Rfam family "Bacterial small subunit ribosomal RNA", at positions 523 to 796 of the family's 1533-position model. The record is from RNAcentral.